GAGUAACGCGUGAGGAACCUGGCUCAAAGAGGGGGACAACAGUUGGAAACGACUGCUAAUACCGCAUAAGCCCACGGGUCGGCAUCGAUCUGAGGGAAAAGGAGCAAUCCGCUUUGAGAUGGCCUCGCGUCCGAUUAGCUAGUUGGUGAGGUAACGGCCCACCAAGGCGACGAUCGGUAGCCGGACUGAGAGGUUGAACGGCCACAUUGGGACUGAGACACGGCCCAGACUCCUACGGGAGGCAGCAGUGGGGAAUAUUGCACAAUGGGGGAAACCCUGAUGCAGCGACGCCGCGUGGAGGAAGAAGGUCUUCGGAUUGUAAACUCCUGUUGUUGAGGAAGGUAAUGACGGUACUCAACAAGGAAGUGACGGCUAACUACGUGCCAGCAGCCGCGGUAAAACGUAGGUCACAAGCGUUGUCCGGAAUUACUGGGUGUAAAGGGAGCGCAGGCGGGAAGACAAGUUGGAAGUGAAAUCUAUGGGCUCAACCCAUAAACUGCUUUCAAAACUGUUUUUCUUGAGUAGUGCAGAGGUAGGCGGAAUUCCCGGUGUAGCGGUGGAAUGCGUAGAUAUCGGGAGGAACACC
Molecule: ribosomal RNA, 586 nt
Filed under: uncultured bacterium
Lineage: Bacteria
Description: bacterial SSU rRNA
Rfam family: Bacterial small subunit ribosomal RNA
Source: RNAcentral